CCGGGAGCGGCCCGCGUGGCCGGGCGAGCCGCUCCGGGCGGUCUCCGAGCCGGUUCCGAGCCGGUUCCGGGCC
RNAcentral lists this transfer RNA (73 nucleotides) under Streptomyces platensis. Its description in RNAcentral is "tRNA-Arg". Lineage: Bacteria; Bacillati; Actinomycetota; Actinomycetes; Kitasatosporales; Streptomycetaceae. The record is from RNAcentral.